AAAAACAAAGCGAUUAUAUUGCAUUCAGUUUCGACCUGAACUUAGAGAAAAUCUGUUUUUA
RNAcentral lists this transfer RNA (61 nucleotides) under Haemaphysalis yeni. Its description in RNAcentral is "tRNA-Arg". The record is from RNAcentral. Lineage: Eukaryota; Metazoa; Arthropoda; Arachnida; Ixodida; Ixodidae.